CAAAGCAGAGAAGAGGAACUGAGAACACCUUAAAAUCUUCAAAAGAGAACACUGAGAACUCUUUAAAAUCUUUAAAACACAUUUUUUUUUUCCCCAGCUCCUGUGAUAAUGUCACUUUCCUGCCUGGAUAAUUCCUUUGCCUGUCCCUUUGCCAUAAUUUCAGCCUCAAACCUGUGUGAAACAACCUCAGCUCAUACAUGGACAGCUGUAAAUUCCCAAAUGUCUUUAACUUGGAUCUGUGAAUCCAAGUUCAAGUUAAUCCCUGUGAAUUUCAAGUCCCUUUUCUGUUCUGUCUGGACCAAUGCUCUGUGAGAAGCCAGCUGGAACUCCAGUGAAGAUAUUAAGAAAAAAGCACCAGGAGGUUUUAUUAAAACAAAAAAAUUAAGCUAUUAAAAGAAAAUCAGGUUCUAAGAGCUGAGAGAUCCUCAGACACUGGAGUUUGGUGUCUGAGUACAGAAAAUAACAGAGAACUUGUUAGGGCUGAGUUAAUGUCCCGUUUCACACAGUCCUUGGCGUGGGAUAAGAGUUUGUAAGAGAACCUCAGAGCCAGGAAUUCCUUUCACACAUCAAACCUGAAUUUCCCUGGAAAGUUUGAACCCAUUCCCCUUUUUCCUGUCAGUUCCUGAUGGAGAAUCCCUCUGUGAUUUCCCUGGGAUUUCCUCCAGACAGUGGAAGGAAUUUUCCAGGAUUUAGCUGGGCAAAACCAUCUCAGUGCCACAGAAACCCAACAACUUCAAGGGUCAGCAAGGUCCCUACAAGAGUUUAGGAAACAAGAAACCUCUCUGAGCCUUAAAGUAAACCUUGAUGGGGACACCUCUGCUGUGGUGACAACACUCAGGUCACCUCUGCUAUGGUGACAACACUUGGGUCACCUCUACUAUGGUGACAACACUCAGGUCACCUCUGCUAUGGUGACAGCCCUCAGGUCACUUCUGCUAUGGUGACAUUGUUCAGGUCACCUCAGCUAUGGUGACAACACUCAGGUCACCUCUGCUAUGGUGACAACACUCAGGUCACCUCUGCUAUGGUGACAGCCCUCCCACAGCUGAGGAAGAAUUAGGACACACACCCACCCACCCAGCACAUUCACACAGCUCCUGCCCACACAGAGCUGGGAACAGGAGCAGGACACACCUCAGGACAUCUGAUAAUGAAUUCUUACAAAAAGCAGCCCAA
Molecule: long non-coding RNA, 1176 nt
Organism: Serinus canaria (Common canary)
Lineage: Eukaryota; Metazoa; Chordata; Aves; Passeriformes; Fringillidae
Exons: 3
Source: RefSeq, a predicted model, not a curated record